GAUGAACGCUGGCGGCGUGCCUAAUACAUGCAAGUCGAGCGAACGGACGAGAAGCUUGCUUCUCUGAUGUUAGCGGCGGACGGGUGAGUAACACGUGGAUAACCUACCUAUAAGACUGGGAUAACUUCGGGAAACCGGAGCUAAUACCGGAUAAUAUUUUGAACCGCAUGGUUCAAAAGUGAAAGACGGUCCUGCUGUCACUUAUAGAUGGAUCCGCGCUGCAUUAGCUAGUUGGUAAGGUAACGGCUUACCAAGGCAACGAUGCAUAGCCGACCUGAGAGGGUGAUCGGCCACACUGGAACUGAGACACGGUCCAGACUCCUACGGGAGGCAGCAAUAGGGAAUCUUCCGCAAUGGGCGAAAGCCUGACGGAGCAACGCCGCGUGAGUGAUGAAGGUCUUCGGAUCGUAAAACUCUGUUAUUAGGGAAGAACAUAUGUGUAAGUAACUGUGCACAUCUUGACGGUACCUAAUCAGAAAGCCACGGCUAACUACGUG
RNAcentral lists this ribosomal RNA (497 nucleotides) under uncultured bacterium. Its description in RNAcentral is "partial 16S ribosomal RNA". It matches the Rfam family "Bacterial small subunit ribosomal RNA", at positions 28 to 507 of the family's 1533-position model. The record is from RNAcentral.